ACAGCUGGAAACGGCUGCUAAUACCGAUACGUUCUUUUCAUCGCAUGGUGAGAAGAAAGAAAAGGAACGGCCUCUACACAAAGCGGUCGCCGAAGGAGGGGUUUGCGUCUGAUUAGCUAGUUGGAGGGGUAACGGCCCAACAAGGCGACGAUCAGUAGCCCGGUCCUGAGAGGAUGAACGGCCACAUUGGGACUGAGACACGGCCCAGACUCCUACGGGAGGCAGCAGUGGGGAAUCUUCCGCAAUGGACGAAAGUCUGACGGAGCAACGCCGCGUGAGUGAAGACGGUCUUCGGAUUGUAAAGCUCUGUUAUACGGGACGAACGGCAAGGUGGUAAAUAGCCAUCAUGAGUGACGGUACCGUAAGAGAAAGCCACGGCUAACUACGUGCCAGCAGCCGCGGUAAU
Molecule: ribosomal RNA, 406 nt
Filed under: uncultured Megasphaera sp.
Lineage: Bacteria; Bacillati; Bacillota; Negativicutes; Veillonellales; Veillonellaceae
Description: bacterial SSU rRNA
Rfam family: Bacterial small subunit ribosomal RNA
Source: RNAcentral